Molecule: ribosomal RNA, 738 nt
Filed under: uncultured bacterium
Lineage: Bacteria
Description: bacterial SSU rRNA
Rfam family: Bacterial small subunit ribosomal RNA
Source: RNAcentral
GAUGAACGCUGGCGGCGUGCUUAACACAUGCAAGUCGAACGGGAUCCAUCAAGCUUGCUUGGUGGUGAGAGUGGCGAACGGGUGAGUAAUGCGUGACCGACCUGCCCCAUGCUCCGGAAUAGCUCCUGGAAACGGGUGGUAAUGCCGGAUGUUCCACAUGAUCGCAUGUGAUUGUGGGAAAGAUUCUAUCGGCGUGGGAUGGGGUCGCGUCCUAUCAGCUUGUUGGUGAGGUAACGGCUCACCAAGGCUUCGACGGGUAGCCGGCCUGAGAUGGCGACCGGCCACAUUGGGACUGAGAUACGGCCCAGACUCCUACGGGAGGCAGCAGUGGGGAAUAUUGCACAAUGGGCGCAAGCCUGAUGCAGCGACGCCGCGUGAGGGAUGGAGGCCUUCGGGUUGUAAACCUCUUUUGUUUGGGAGCAAGCCUUCGGGUGAGUGUACCUUUCGAAUAAGCGCCGGCUAACUACGUGCCAGCAGCCGCGGUAAUACGUAGGGCGCAAGCGUUAUCCGGAUUUAUUGGGCGUAAAGGGCUCGUAGGCGGCUCGUCGCGUCCGGUGUGAAAGUCCAUCGCUUAACGGUGGAUCUGCGCCGGGUACGGGCGGGCUGGAGUGCGGUAGGGGAGACUGGAAUUCCCGGUGUAACGGUGGAAUGUGUAGAUAUCGGGAAGAACACCGAUGGCGAAGGCAGGUCUCUGGGCCGUCACUGACGCUGAGGAGCGAAAGCGUGGGGAGCGAACAA